AACGAACGCUGGCGGCAUGCCUAACACAUGCAAGUCGAACGAGAUCUUCGGGUCUAGUGGCGCACGGGUGCGUAACGCGUGGGAAUCUGCCCUUUGGUUCGGAAUAACAGUUGGAAACGACUGCUAAUACCGGAUGAUGACGAAAGUCCAAAGAUUUAUCGCCAGAGGAUGAGCCCGCGUAGGAUUAGCUAGUUGGUGUGGUAAAGGCGCACCAAGGCGACGGUCCUUAGCUGGUCUGAGAGGACGAUCAGCCACACUGGGACUGAGACACGGCCCAGACUCCUACGGGAGGCAGCAGUGGGGAAUAUUGGACAAUGGGCGAAAGCCUGAUCCAGCAAUGCCGCGUGAGUGAUGAAGGCCUUAGGGUUGUAAAGCUCUUUUACCCGGGAUGGUAAUGACAGUACCGGGAGAAUAAGCUCCGGCUAACUCCGUGCCAGCCGCCGCCGUAA
RNAcentral lists this ribosomal RNA (449 nucleotides) under uncultured bacterium. Its description in RNAcentral is "partial 16S ribosomal RNA". It matches the Rfam family "Bacterial small subunit ribosomal RNA", at positions 29 to 523 of the family's 1533-position model. The record is from RNAcentral.